RNAcentral lists this ribosomal RNA (977 nucleotides) under uncultured Ascomycota. RNAcentral's name for it is "eukaryotic LSU rRNA". It matches the Rfam family "Eukaryotic large subunit ribosomal RNA", at positions 1 to 991 of the family's 3401-position model. The record is from RNAcentral. Lineage: Eukaryota; Fungi; Ascomycota.
CGUUUGACCUCGGAUCAGGUAGGGAUACCCGCUGAACUUAAGCAUAUCAAUAAGCGGAGGAAAAGAAACCAACAGGGAUUGCCCUAGUAACGGCGAGUGAAGCGGCAACAGCUCAAAUUUGAAAUCUGGCUCUUUUAGAGUCCGAGUUGUAAUUUGCAGAGGGCGCUUUGGCUUUGGCAGCGGUCCAAGUUCCUUGGAACAGGACGUCACAGAGGGUGAGAAUCCCGUACGUGGUCGCUAGCUAUUGCCGUGUAAAGCCCCUUCGACGAGUCGAGUUGUUUGGGAAUGCAGCUCUAAAUGGGAGGUAAAUUUCUUCUAAAGCUAAAUAUUGGCCAGAGACCGAUAGCGCACAAGUAGAGUGAUCGAAAGAUGAAAAGCACUUUGGAAAGAGAGUCAAACAGCACGUGAAAUUGUUGAAAGGGAAGCGCUUGCAGCCAGACUUGCUUGCAGUUGCUCAUCCGGGCUUUUGCCCGGUGCACUCUUCUGCAGGCAGGCCAGCAUCAGUUUGGGCGGUGGGAUAGAGGUCUCUGACACGUUCCUUCCUUCGGGUUGGCCAUAUAGGGGAGACGUCAUACCACCAGCCUGGACUGAGGUCCGCGCAUCUGCUAGGAUGCUGGCGUAAUGGCUGUAAGCGGCCCGUCUUGAAACACGGACCAAGGAGUCUAACAUCUAUGCGAGUGUUUGGGUGUCAAGCCCGAGCGCGUAAUGAAAGUGAACGGAGGUGGGAACCCGCAAGGGUGCACCAUCGACCGAUCCUGAAGUUUACGGAAGGAUUUGAGUAAGAGCAUGGCUGUUGGGACCCGAAAGAUGGUGAACUAUGCUUGAAUAGGGUGAAGCCAGAGGAAACUCUGGUGGAGGCUCGCAGCGGUUCUGACGUGCAAAUCGAUCGUCAAAUUUGGGCAUAGGGGCCGAAAGACUAAUCGAACUAUCUAGUAGCUGGUUCCUGCCGAAGUUUCCCUCAGGAUAGCAGUAGCGUA